GGGGAGCCGCAGGGAAACCGAGUCUUAACUGGGCGUUAAGUUGCAGGGUAUAGACCCGAAACCCGGUGAUCUAGCCAUGGGCAGGUUGAAGGUUGGGUAACACUAACUGGAGGACCGAACCGACUAAUGUUGAAAAAUUAGCGGAUGACUUGUGGCUGGGGGUGAAAGGCCAAUCAAACCGGGAGAUAGCUGGUUCUCCCCGAAAGCUAUUUAGGUAGCGCCUCGUGAACUCAUCUUC
This 238-nucleotide ribosomal RNA is filed under the name Clostridioides difficile. RNAcentral's name for it is "partial 23S ribosomal RNA". It matches the Rfam family "Bacterial large subunit ribosomal RNA", at positions 660 to 897 of the family's 2925-position model. Lineage: Bacteria; Bacillati; Bacillota; Clostridia; Peptostreptococcales; Peptostreptococcaceae. The record is from RNAcentral.